CUUUUCUAUUAGUACAGUACUUUAUUUCCUCUCUAGUUUCUACCUCACAACCUACACUAACAGGCCUAGCCGCUCUACUGCGCUUCUGCAUUCCUGACCUCUCGCUACCCCGCUAGGCUGACCCAUUCAACCGCUGGACAGGUACAGAACAGGGGCGUAACUUAAGGGUGACACUCAUGCUCCACGACAUAUACACACACACACCAAGAUCCUUUCACAACAGACA
This is a non-coding RNA of Biomphalaria pfeifferi, 226 nucleotides long. NCBI's taxonomy places the organism in Eukaryota, Metazoa, Mollusca, Gastropoda, Planorbidae. The record is from the annotation of a GenBank genome assembly.